RNAcentral lists this long non-coding RNA (232 nucleotides) under Sorghum bicolor (sorghum). Its description in RNAcentral is "long non-coding RNA (SBIC_LNC004970)". The record is from RNAcentral. Lineage: Eukaryota; Viridiplantae; Streptophyta; Magnoliopsida; Poales; Poaceae.
CUGUGAUGUUUAAAGAUGAAAUGCAGACAAUUUCAUAAGCUUUCCAGAAUGUCCUCAUUCAUGUUUGUUGGAUCUCCGUAGCAAUAGUUAUGACUUGUUUACUGAGCUGCACCGUUAUUUUGGUUGUUGCUGUUUAUAGUUUAACUUGGUAAUCUUGCUAAGUCUUGCUGAGUUAGUUAGUUAUCUUGUGUGAGCUUGUGAUGAAAGUUACUCCAUAAACGAGUGUCCAGUG